Molecule: ribosomal RNA, 774 nt
Filed under: uncultured Neocallimastigales
Lineage: Eukaryota; Fungi; Neocallimastigomycota; Neocallimastigomycetes; Neocallimastigales
Description: partial large subunit ribosomal RNA
Rfam family: Eukaryotic large subunit ribosomal RNA
Source: RNAcentral
CGCAUCUGUGCAUGCAGCAUAUCAAUAAGCGGAGGAAAAGAAACUAACAAGGAUUCCCCUAGUAACGGCGAGUGAAGCGGGAAGAGCUCAAAUUUGAAAUCUUAAAGGGUUUCCCUUUACGAAUUGUAGUUUAAAGAAGUGUUUUCUGUUGAGGUUUUGGUAAAAGUUCUUUGGAAUAGGACAUCAUAGAGGGUGAGAAUCCCGUAUUUGACCUUUACUUUCAACUUUGUGAUACACUUUCAAAGAGUCGGAUUGUUUGGGAAUGCAGUCCAAAAUGGGUGGUAAAUUUCAUCUAAAGCUAAAUAUUGGCGAGAGACCGAUAGCGAACAAGUACCGUGAGGGAAAGAUGAAAAGAACUUUGAAAAGAGAGUUAAACAGUACGUGAAAUUGUCAAAAGGGAAGCGUUUGACACCAGUGUUGUUUUUCUGAAAAUCAAUUAAAGAACUGUUUAUGCUAAGCUGUUUAGACUUUAUCAGCUAACUGUUUAGUUUUGAGCUUUUCUUUAAUGCACUUUUCAGUUAACAAGUCAACAUCAAUUUCUUUUGCUGUAAAAAAGCUUGAGGAAGGUGGCUUGAGAUUCGUCUUAAGUGUUUAUAGCCUCUUGCCUAUGCAGUCGGAGAGAUUGAGGUCUGCAGCGUAGAUCCUUCGGGGCUAAAUGCAUUUGUGCUAAGUUAUAGCAUUUUAUAGACAACUUGUUGACUAUGAUUUGUCUUGUAGCUUACUCGCUUAUGUUAUUUUACCUACGCUUAGGAUGUUGAACGCGCACAGAGUCUC